RNAcentral lists this ribosomal RNA (252 nucleotides) under uncultured bacterium. RNAcentral describes it as "partial 16S ribosomal RNA". It matches the Rfam family "Bacterial small subunit ribosomal RNA", at positions 15 to 263 of the family's 1533-position model. The record is from RNAcentral.
GCUCAUGGCUCAGGAUGAACGCUAGCGACAGGCUUAACACAUGCAAGUCGAGGGGCAGCGGGGAGUAGCAAUACUCCGCCGGCGACCGGCGCACGGGUGCGUAACGCGUAUGCAACCUACCUUUAACAGGGGCAUAACACUGAGAAAUUGGUACUAAUUCCCCAUAACAUUCGAGAAGGCAUCUUCUUGGGUUAAAAACUCCGGUGGUUAAAGAUGGGCAUGCGUUGUAUUAGCUAGUUGGUGAGGUAACGG